This is a ribosomal RNA of 227 nucleotides. It matches the Rfam family "Bacterial small subunit ribosomal RNA", at positions 1 to 216 of the family's 1533-position model.
UUUAUUGGAGAGUUUGAUCCUGGCUCAGGACGAACGCUGGCGGCGUGCUUAACACAUGCAAGUCGAACGGGGCGAAGUGAUAGCUUGCUAUUAUGGAGCCUAGUGGCAAACGGGUGAGUAACGCGUAGGCAACCUGCCCUUCAGAUGGGGACAACACCUCGAAAGGGGUGCUAAUACCGAAUGACGUUUCCUGGUCGCAUGACCUGGAAACCAAAGGCCGGGCAACC